Molecule: ribosomal RNA, 497 nt
Filed under: uncultured bacterium
Lineage: Bacteria
Description: partial 16S ribosomal RNA
Rfam family: Bacterial small subunit ribosomal RNA
Source: RNAcentral
GAUGAACGCUGGCGGCGUGCCUAAUACAUGCAAGUCGAGCGAACGGACGAGAAGCUUGCUUUUCUGAUGUUAGCGGCGGACGGGUGAGUAACACGUGGAUAACCUACCUAUAAGACUGGGAUAACUUCGGGAAACCGGAGCUAAUACCGGAUAAUAUUUUGAACCGCAUGGUUCAAAAGUGAAAGACGGUCUUGCUGUCACUUAUAGAUGGAUCCGCGCUGCAUUAGCUAGUUGGUAAGGUAACGGCUUACCAAGGCAACGAUGCAUAGCCGACCUGAGAGGGUGAUCGGCCACACUGGAACUGAGACACGGUCCAGACUCCUACGGGAGGCAGCAGUAGGGAAUCUUCCGCAAUGGGCGAAAGCCUGACGGAGCAACGCAGCGUGAGUGAUGAAGGUCUUCGGAUCGUAAAACUCUGUUAUUAGGGAAGAACAUAUGUGUAAGUAACUGUGCACAUCUUGACGGUACCUAAUCAGAAAGCCACGGCUAACUACGUG